RNAcentral lists this long non-coding RNA (1393 nucleotides) under Manacus vitellinus (golden-collared manakin). Its description in RNAcentral is "lncRNA (ENSMVIG00005016061.1)". The stretch from base 848 to 930 matches the Rfam family "mir-181 microRNA precursor family". Lineage: Eukaryota; Metazoa; Chordata; Aves; Passeriformes; Pipridae. The record is from RNAcentral.
UCAGUGCCUUUCUUAACUAAUCCUGUCACUGUAAAAUCCUACAGUCAUUCUUCCACACAUAAAGGGAAAACGGACUCACUAGGAGGACCUAGACUCUUUCAGCUUGAACUGUUAACCAAUGGUGGAAAUGCAAGAAUGCUGAAGUUGUGCCUUCAGAGCCAAUAGAGUGGAUUUGUGUGUCCCACAUGACUGUGUUUCCUCUGUCUUUCACAUGGGCAGUAUUUAGUUCAAUUCAGAACUGCAGAUAGUAUAGCGUGCAGAGCAGCAAUGGGAUGUCUGAGCACAAGUGGCUGACUUCCAGGCGACUUCAGGAAGCACAUUUGUACAUUUCUCCUGAAUUUAACUGGGAUUCUGCACCCUUGACACCCUCCGACCCUCCUUGUCUCUGCAGAAGGAGACAGCGACCUGCACAGCACAACAAAACUUUUGCAUUUUACAGACCACAAACCUCAGAAGAUCAUUGUGUGGAAGAAACACACUGGGCCAACUCAUCCUGUCCAUCUGACACAAAGCACAGCCCAUUUUGGUGUUCUUUCCAUUCUGAAGGAGUCUCAUAUCAGCACAGCAAGAGCAGACCUGCAAAAAAGAAUUCUGACCAGCUGAGCAUCGAGAACGCCUUCUGCAGAAGAAUUCUGCUCCCAAAUGCAAAUAAGAAAGAAGUUUGGGAAACUGCCAGCUCCUUGCACAAAGACUGAAUUACGAUGGGCAGAGAAGGGUGUUGGUAAGAGAAAAAUGACUGAAGUUGCAUCAUCUGUAUGCUUAAAAUCAUUGUGUGAAUUUUGAUUUUCCCCCCCUCCUUUCAGACAUUUGAGGAUGCGGUCAAGUCAAUGGAGUUCUGUUGUAGUGGUUGCUUCAGUGAACAUUCAACGCUGUCGGUGAGUUUGGAAUUAAAGUGAAAACCAUCGACCGUUGAUUGUACCCUCCAGCUAACCAUCCUCCUCCUUACUUCAUGCUUUCAGGCCUUAACACCGAAGAUAGCAACCUAACCAUCAUAUGAUGUUUCUCCCCCACCCUGCCAAGCUUUACAAAAAAGGUCACAAUCAACAUUCAUUGCUGUCGGUGGGUUUAACUUUGUGGACAAGCUCACUGAACAAUGAAUGCAACUGUGGCCCCACAUUUUACAGUUGCCGUUGAGAGGAACAGCAGCUCUGAAAGCAGUAGUGAGAAACAAACUUCUUAUAAGCUACAUUUUUCUGGUCAGAAAAACAGUUGGGAGUAUUCACUUUUUGCUUGCUUGUUUUUAAGUGUGUUUAACUUAGCUGACUAGAAAAAAAAAACACUGCCUUUUUCUGGAAUAUUGUCCUUACAGGGUUGAGUAUUACUGAAACCAUAAAAACUCUUAUUUAGUAUGUGUGCAGAAAUAAAUAACUGUACAGGAAACUCUGUAUAUCCA